UACGGGAGGCAGCAGUGGGGAAUAUUGCACAAUGGGCGCAAGCCUGAUGCAGCCAUGCCGCGUGUAUGAAGAAGGCCUUCGGGUUGUAAAGUACUUUCAGUCGUGAGGAAGGUGUUAAGGUUAAUAACCUUAGCAAUUGACGUUAGCGACAGAAGAAGCACCGGCUAACUCCGUGCCAGCAGCCGCGGUAAUACGGAGGGUGCGAGCGUUAAUCGGAAUUACUGGGCGUAAAGGGCACGCAGGCGGUUAAUUAAGUUGGAUGUGAAAUCCCCGGGCUUAACCUGGGAAUGGCAUUCAAGACUGGUUAGCUAGAGUCUUGUAGAGGGGGUAGAAUUCCAUGUGUAGCGGUGAAAUGCGUAGAGAUGUGGAGGAAUACCGGGUGGCGAAGGCGGCCCCUGGGACAAAGGACUGACGCUCAUGUGCGAAAGCGUAGGGAGCAAACAGGAUUUAGAUACC
RNAcentral lists this ribosomal RNA (456 nucleotides) under uncultured bacterium. RNAcentral's name for it is "bacterial SSU rRNA". It matches the Rfam family "Bacterial small subunit ribosomal RNA", at positions 340 to 786 of the family's 1533-position model. The record is from RNAcentral.